GGGAGGCAGCAGUGAGGAAUAUUGGUCAAUGGGCGAGAGCCUGAACCAGCCAAGUAGCGUGAAGGAUGAAGGCUCUAUGGGUCGUAAACUUCUUUUAUAUGGGAAUAAAGUAUUCCACGUGUGGAAUUUUGUAUGUACCAUAUGAAUAAGGAUCGGCUAACUCCGUGCCAGCAGCCGCGGUAAUACGGAGGAUCCGAGCGUUAUCCGGAUUUAUUGGGUUUAAAGGGAGCGUAGGUGGAUUGUUAAGUCAGUUGUGAAAGUUUGCGGCUCAACCGUAAAAUUGCAGUGGAAACUGGCAGUCUUGAGUACAGUAGAGGUGGGCGGAAUUCGUGGUGUAGCGGUGAAAUGCUUAGAUAUCACGAAGACUCCGAUUCGAAGCAGCUCACUAGACUGUCACUGACA
This 402-nucleotide ribosomal RNA is filed under the name uncultured Bacteroidales bacterium. Its description in RNAcentral is "bacterial SSU rRNA". It matches the Rfam family "Bacterial small subunit ribosomal RNA", at positions 343 to 745 of the family's 1533-position model. The record is from RNAcentral. Lineage: Bacteria; Pseudomonadati; Bacteroidota; Bacteroidia; Bacteroidales.